This 349-nucleotide ribosomal RNA is filed under the name uncultured bacterium. RNAcentral describes it as "bacterial SSU rRNA". It matches the Rfam family "Bacterial small subunit ribosomal RNA", at positions 1 to 334 of the family's 1533-position model. The record is from RNAcentral.
CACGUACUAUCAGAGUUUGAGUCCUGGCGUCCAGGACUGAACGCUAGCGGCAGGCUUAACACAUGCAAGUCGAGGGGCAGCAUAAACAUUGCUUGCAAUGUUUGAUGGCGACCGGCGCACGGGUGCGUAACGCGUAUGCAACCUACCCAUAACAGGGGGAUAACACUGAGAAAUUGGUACUAAUACCCCGUAAUAUCAGGAAAGGCAUCUUUUUUGGUUGAAAGUUCCGGCGGUUAUGGAUGGGCAUGCGUUGUAUUAGCUAGUUGGUGAGGUAACGGCUCACCAAGGCGACGAUACAUAGGGGGACUGAGAGGUUAACCCCCCACAUUGGUACUGAGACACGGACCAA